RNAcentral lists this ribosomal RNA (468 nucleotides) under uncultured bacterium. RNAcentral's name for it is "partial 16S ribosomal RNA". It matches the Rfam family "Bacterial small subunit ribosomal RNA", at positions 28 to 507 of the family's 1533-position model. The record is from RNAcentral.
GACGAACGCUGGCGGCGUGCUUAACACAUGCGAGUCGAACGGAAAGGCCCUGCUUGUGUGGGGUGCUCGAGUGGCGAACGGGUGAGUAACACGUGAGUAACCUGCCCUUGACUUUGGGAUAACUUCAGGAAACUGGGGCUAAUACCGGAUAGGAGCUCCUGCUGCAUGGUGGGGGUUGGAAAGUUUCGGCGGUUGGGGAUGGACUCGCGGCUUAUCAGCUUGUUGGUGGGGUAGUGGCUUACCAAGGCUUUGACGGGUAGCCGGCCUGAGAGGGUGACCGGCCACAUUGGGACUGAGAUACGGCCCAGCCUCCUACGGGAGGCAGCAGUGGGGAAUAUUGCACAAUGGGCGGAAGCCUGAUGCAGCAACGCCGCGUGCGGGAUGACGGCCUUCGGGUUGUAAACCGCUUUCGCCUGUGACGAAGCGUGAGUGACGGUAAUGGGUAAAGAAGCACCGGCUAACUACGUG